UCUUCUUGUUGUGUAUGGCAUGUUCCGAGAAUCAAUGGUGAAAUACCCUCAGUUGAUGAAGCAACUUUAGAUCAUCAAAGGCUACUAGAAAGACUACAGGUCUAUAAUUUGGUGGAGCUUAAAGUUGAAGGAGAUGGUAUUUGUCAGUUCCGUGCUCUAUCUGAUCAAUUUUAUCGAUCUCCUGAGCAUCAUGAAUUUUUGAGACAGCAAGUCGUAAAUCAGCUUUAAAUCAUAUCCAGAUAUAGACAAGGGUUACGUUCUCAUGGCAUAUGGUGACUAUCUGGAGAAGAUGUCCAAGAGUGGUGAAUGGGGUGAUCAUGUAACUUUGCAAGCUGCUGUGGAUUUGUAUGGUGUUAAAAUGUGUUGCAGUAUGAUGCAAAUAUUGGGUGUCUUUCAAGGACACUUGCUACAUUGAGAUUCUCCCGAAUGUCAAAAAGUCGAAAUGAGUUAUUUUUUUUUGAGCUUUUGGGCAGAGGUGCAUUACAACUCAAUCUAUCCAUUUGGAGAUGUGCCGGGAUUUGGGAUAACGAAGAAGAAGAAGAAAAAAGGGCGAAUGUUUCAGAACAAGCAUUUCGAGUCACCUGAUGAAUAUCAAUGAAUAUCUCAGAGAAAACGUUUGGACUGCUGCCACCGAUUGAAACAUAGCCAUCUCAUGAGCAGAAAAUUCCAAAUCAAAAUCAAACUCCAAAGGUGGUAAACUUGGUUCACCCCUUGAAACAUCCCCACUGUUCUUCAACAACAUACGAUCAGGUUCCUGAAGAAAGGUCAAACAAGGGGUAUAAUCCGAGGUAGCCAAAGGGGAAUCUGAACCAGUUGAGAAAGGAACCAAACCAGUGUUGGUGCUGUUGUUGUUGGUCGGACCAGGUGUUGUUGAUGUUUCACUUACACCAGUACCAGUAGCAGCAACAAUCGAUGGUUCAGCUUGACGCAACAGCCAUGCAAUGGUCUCACCAUCAGUUUUCAACCCAAGUUCUCUUGUGAGCUGAAAAAUCCUAGCCGCGCAAACAGUUGGUAACCUGAUCCGUCUGUCUCUACCAUCAACCUUUGCAUGGCGGUCUUUGGUGGUUGUCUUCUUGUUUUUUGAAGUACUUGCCUUGUUUGCAGAACCAGUCCUCGGUUUCUUCGUUGAAGGGUUGGUUGAUAAAGCCAUCUCUAACCCCAUGUUCUUCGAUGACGCCAUUGAUUCUCACACUAACACACACUCGUACACUUAUGAACAUGUAUGUAUAAAUAGGCAGAUAUGUAUGCUUUUGAUGAAAAGUGAGAAACAAGAUGACUUUGAAAAAAGAUUUCAACUGACAAAACAUGCAACUUGUCUGGUUCUUUUACAAAUGUAAACCAAAAACCAGAAGUUCCUUCUUUGUAACGUGCCAAUGGUGAUGUAAGGGUAGCAACAAGAAAACCAAUAUAUGAUUAACAGAUACAUAUACAUAUUUAAGGAUA
RNA transcript from Gossypium raimondii (Peruvian cotton), 1443 nucleotides. It is a transcript of the gene named OVARIAN TUMOR DOMAIN-containing deubiquitinating enzyme 10, with no coding region annotated. The transcript is spliced from 9 exons. Lineage: Eukaryota; Viridiplantae; Streptophyta; Magnoliopsida; Malvales; Malvaceae. The record is from RefSeq and is a predicted model, not a curated record.